Molecule: ribosomal RNA, 1088 nt
Filed under: Microbacterium flavescens
Lineage: Bacteria; Bacillati; Actinomycetota; Actinomycetes; Micrococcales; Microbacteriaceae
Description: bacterial SSU rRNA
Rfam family: Bacterial small subunit ribosomal RNA
Source: RNAcentral
AGCCCAGCUUGCUGGGUGGAUCAGUGGCGAACGGGUGAGUAACACGUGAGCAACCUGCCCCGGACUCUGGGAUAAGCGCUGGAAACGGCGUCUAAUACUGGAUACGAGCUGCAACCGCAUGGUUAGCAGUUGGAAAGAAUUUCGGUCUGGGAUGGGCUCGCGGCCUAUCAGCUUGUUGGUGAGGUAAUGGCUCACCAAGGCGUCGACGGGUAGCCGGCCUGAGAGGGUGACCGGCCACACUGGGACUGAGACACGGCCCAGACUCCUACGGGAGGCAGCAGUGGGGAAUAUUGCACAAUGGGCGGAAGCCUGAUGCAGCAACGCCGCGUGAGGGACGACGGCCUUCGGGUUGUAAACCUCUUUUAGCAAGGAAGAAGCGAAAGUGACGGUACUUGCAGAAAAAGCGCCGGCUAACUACGUGCCAGCAGCCGCGGUAAUACGUAGGGCGCAAGCGUUAUCCGGAAUUAUUGGGCGUAAAGAGCUCGUAGGCGGUUUGUCGCGUCUGCUGUGAAAUCCCGAGGCUCAACCUCGGGUCUGCAGUGGGUACGGGCAGACUAGAGUGCGGUAGGGGAGAUUGGAAUUCCUGGUGUAGCGGUGGAAUGCGCAGAUAUCAGGAGGAACACCGAUGGCGAAGGCAGAUCUCUGGGCCGUAACUGACGCUGAGGAGCGAAAGGGUGGGGAGCAAACAGGCUUAGAUACCCUGGUAGUCCACCCCGUAAACGUUGGGAACUAGUUGUGGGGUCCAUUCCACGGAUUCCGUGACGCAGCUAACGCAUUAAGUUCCCCGCCUGGGGAGUACGGCCGCAAGGCUAAAACUCAAAGGAAUUGACGGGGACCCGCACAAGCGGCGGAGCAUGCGGAUUAAUUCGAUGCAACGCGAAGAACCUUACCAAGGCUUGACAUACACGAGAACGCUGCAGAAAUGUAGAACUCUUUGGACACUCGUGAACAGGUGGUGCAUGGUUGUCGUCAGCUCGUGUCGUGAGAUGUUGGGUUAAGNCCCGCAACGAGCGCAACCCUCGUUCUAUGUUGCCAGCACGUAAUGGUGGGGAACUCAUGGGGAUACUGGCCGGGGUCAACUCCGGAGG